GAAAUGUGCCCGAAUAUCUAAGGGUUACUUUGAUAGAGUAAACCACAGGGGUUUAAACCCCCUCAUUUCCUUAGGAAGACAGGAUUCGAACCUGCACCAAGAAACUCAAAAUAACUCGUACUCCAUUAUACAACCUCC
This 138-nucleotide unclassified non-coding RNA is filed under the name Oplurus quadrimaculatus. Its description in RNAcentral is "partial contains tRNA-Ile and tRNA-Gln". Lineage: Eukaryota; Metazoa; Chordata; Lepidosauria; Squamata. The record is from RNAcentral.